Molecule: ribosomal RNA, 260 nt
Filed under: uncultured bacterium
Lineage: Bacteria
Description: partial 16S ribosomal RNA
Rfam family: Bacterial small subunit ribosomal RNA
Source: RNAcentral
UACGUAGGGGGCAAGCGUUGUCCGGAAUCAUUGGGCGUAAAGCGCGUGUAGGCGGUCCGGUAAGUCCGCUGUGAAAAGUCGGGGGGCUCAACCCCUCGGAUGCCCGGUGGAUACUGUCGGGCUUGAGUACGGGAAGAGGCGAGUGGAAUUCCUGGUGGUAGCGGUGAAAAUGCGCAGAUAUCGGGAGGAACACCAAUUGCGAAGGCAGCUCGCUGGGACGGUACUGACGCUGAGGCGCGAAAGCGUGGGGAGCAAACAGG